AUUGAACGCUGGCGGCAGGCCUAACACAUGCAAGUCGAACGGUAGCACAGAGAGCUUGCUCUCGGGUGACGAGUGGCGGACGGGUGAGUAAUGUCUGGGAAACUGCCCGAUGGAGGGGGAUAACUACUGGAAACGGUAGCUAAUACCGCAUAACGUCGCAAGACCAAAGUGGGGGACCUUCGGGCCUCACACCAUCGGAUGUGCCCAGAUGGGAUUAGCUAGUAGGUGGGGUAAUGGCUCACCUAGGCGACGAUCCCUAGCUGGUCUGAGAGGAUGACCAGCCACACUGGAACUGAGACACGGUCCAGACUCCUACGGGAGGCAGCAGUAGGGAAUAUUGCACAAUGGGCGCAAGCCUGAUGCAGCCAUGCCGCGUGUAUGAAGAAGGCCUUCGGGUUGUAAAGUACUUCCAGCGGGGAGGAAGGCGGUGAAGUUAAUAACUUCACCGAUUGACGUUACCCGCAGAAGAAGCACCGGCUAACUCCGUGCCAGCCGCCGCAGUAA
RNAcentral lists this ribosomal RNA (504 nucleotides) under uncultured bacterium. RNAcentral's name for it is "partial 16S ribosomal RNA". It matches the Rfam family "Bacterial small subunit ribosomal RNA", at positions 30 to 523 of the family's 1533-position model. The record is from RNAcentral.